GCACCCUCGGGUGCUCAGUGGCGCACGGCUGAGGAACACGUGGGAAUCUGUCCCGGAGUGGGGGAUAACACCGCGAAAGCGGUGCUAAUCCCGCAUACGCUCCAAGGAGGAAAGUCGCAAGACGCUCCGGGGUGAGCCCGCGGCCCAUCAGGUUGUUGGUGGGGUAAUGGCCUACCAAGCCCAUGACGGGUUGCUGGUCUGUGAGGACGACCAGCCAGACUGGGACUGAGACACGGCCCAGACUCCUACGGGAGGCAGCAGCAAGGAAUUUUCGGCAAUGGGCGCAAGCCUGACCGAGCAACGCCGCGUGCGGGAUGACGGCCUUCGGGUUGUAAACCGCUUUUGGGGGGGACGACUUCGACGGUACCCCCUGAAUAAGCCCCGGCUAACUCUGUGCCAGCAGCCGCGGUAAGACAGAGGGGGCAAGCGUUGUCCGGAUUGACUGGGCGUAAAGGGUCCGCAGGUGGCCUGGCACGUGUGGUGUGAAACCACCCAGCUUAACUGGGUGUCGCCAUCGCAUACGGCCCGGCUUGAGCGUCGCAGAGGUGCGUGGAAUUGCCGGUGUAGUGGUGAAAUGCGUAGAGAUCGGCAGGAACACCAAGGGGGAAGCCAGCGCACUGGGCGAUUGCUGACACUCAGGGACGAGAGCGUGGGGAGCCAACUGGAUUAGAUACCCAGGUCGUCCACGCCGUAAACGAUGGAUGCUCGGCCCGUGGGACCUAUCAACGGUCCUGGGGGCCUCAGCUCACGCGCAAGCAUCCCGCCUGGGAACUACGAGCGCAAGCUUAAAACUCAAAGGA
This 800-nucleotide ribosomal RNA is filed under the name uncultured Chloroflexota bacterium. RNAcentral describes it as "bacterial SSU rRNA". It matches the Rfam family "Bacterial small subunit ribosomal RNA", at positions 74 to 908 of the family's 1533-position model. Lineage: Bacteria; Bacillati; Chloroflexota. The record is from RNAcentral.